AAGACCUUGCGCUUUUGGAGCGGCCGAUGCCUGAUUAGCUAGUUGGUGGGGUAAUGGCCUACCAAAGCUUCGAUCAGUAGCUGGUCUGAGAGGACGGCCAGCCACACUGGGACUGAGACACGGCCCAGACUCCUACGGGAGGCAGCAGUGGGGAAUUUUGGACAAUGGGCGCAAGCCUGAUCCAGCCAUGCCGCGUGAGUGAAGAAGGCCUUCGGGUUGUAAAGCUCUUUCAGUCGGGAAGAAAAGGUUGCGAUUAAUAAUCGCAAUUUAUGACGGUACCGGAAGAAGAAGCACCGGCUAACUACGUGCCAGCAGCCGCGGUAAUACGUAGGGUGCGAGCGUUAAUCGGAAUUACUGGGCGUAAAGGGUGCGCAGGCGGUUUUGUAAGUCAGAUGUGAAAUCCCCGGGCUUAACCUGGGAACU
This 423-nucleotide ribosomal RNA is filed under the name uncultured bacterium. RNAcentral describes it as "bacterial SSU rRNA". It matches the Rfam family "Bacterial small subunit ribosomal RNA", at positions 207 to 622 of the family's 1533-position model. The record is from RNAcentral.